Molecule: non-coding RNA, 469 nt
Organism: Odocoileus virginianus texanus
Lineage: Eukaryota; Metazoa; Chordata; Mammalia; Artiodactyla; Cervidae
Source: RefSeq, a predicted model, not a curated record
CUUUAAGGCUAUAUGCUUUCUUCCUGACCAUUCAAGGCCCUUUGGUAUUUUUAUUUCAGAUGCUUCACUCUUUUCAGAGUCCUCCUAUCCUUCUACAAGAGGCUGAGUUCCACCACUGCUCCGCACUGGCCCACCUUGCCCUUCUUGUUCUUCAGAGCACAAGUAGCUCAUCCACAGAGGGCUGAAGACAGAUGGAGAGCUGCCGCCGCCCAGGAAAGCAGAAAUCGUCUGGUCAUUGUGGCGAAUCACCAUUAGCCUUCAGUGUUUCUCAGCUGACCGCCAGCAUGGUUUGUCUUUCGAAUCUAGAAGCAGCUCAGAACCCUGGUGAGCAGGAAGGUACACAGAUGGUGUCCCCUUGCCGGUCCUCACUACUGGCCCAUCGUCAGCGAAAAGGAGGUCUGAAUUUCCAAAAAGAUGGCUAGGGGAGAAGGAGGAAAGAACAAAUAGAACACGAGCUUUGAUGGAUGUA